GCCAAUGUGAUGUAGUGGUUUAAGUGUUGGACUAUAACUCCGGAGAGCAGGGUCCGAAUCCCUGCUCAGCCA
This is a non-coding RNA of Phrynosoma platyrhinos (Desert horned lizard), 72 nucleotides long. NCBI's taxonomy places the organism in Eukaryota, Metazoa, Chordata, Lepidosauria, Squamata, Phrynosomatidae. The record is from the annotation of a GenBank genome assembly.